UAACAAUACACUUACUGAAGGACCAACCACACAGCCUCUCUCCUUCUGCAGCCUCCUGGAAGUGUGGAUCUUCUAGCAGGAGGGUCAGUCAGUCCUCCACUAGGUACCUAGCUGGACCUCUAUCUAGCAGGAGGGUCAGUUAGUCCUCCACUAGGUACCUAGCU
This is a non-coding RNA of Salvelinus sp. IW2-2015, 164 nucleotides long. NCBI's taxonomy places the organism in Eukaryota, Metazoa, Chordata, Actinopteri, Salmoniformes, Salmonidae. The record is from RefSeq and is a predicted model, not a curated record.